UAUUUAAAAUGUAAAUUUUUUGCCAGGUUAGUAUUAGUUAUUUUCUUGAAAACAAAAAAAUUUGGCGGUAUUUUAGUCUUUUCAGAGGAACCUGCCCUGUAAUUGAUAGUCCACGAUUAUUUUUACUUGUAUUUAUGGCUUGUAUAUCGUCGUGGUUGAUUUUUUUAUUAGAAUAUUAAUAGUCAAUUUUCUUUAUUAGGAAUGAAAUCAGAUCAAGAUGCAGUUAUAUACAAGGAGAGGUGGGUUACAAUAAGUUUACUUAAAUGGUUAAGAUUUUUAAAUAUUUCUUAUAAAGUGGAUUUGAUAGU
RNAcentral lists this ribosomal RNA (308 nucleotides) under Agrilus viridis. Its description in RNAcentral is "partial 12S ribosomal RNA". The record is from RNAcentral. Lineage: Eukaryota; Metazoa; Arthropoda; Insecta; Coleoptera; Buprestidae.